AUGAGUCCCACAAAUGCUCCACAAGCCCAGCUCCGAGCGCACAUGAGCCCUCCCUGGCGCUCUGAGAAGAGCUGGAGGAGCCAAGAGGAGCCUGUACAUGCCCCCAGCUCAGAGAGGGGCCGAGCUGCCUGGCUUGGGGGGAGCACAGGGCAAGCACCAGAGAGGAAGAGCCGAGGGGACUCACUGUACCCCGCAGGCCUUGGGAAAGGCUUGGAUAACAGCAGGCUGAGUCGGGCAGCACCACCACUGCGGUCCUUCAGUCCUGGGACACAUACGGAGAGCACGUGGAGAAGCCAAAGGGAGAUUGCCCCUCCAGUGCAGGUAGCAGAGAGGCAACGGGGGAGCCCAGGGAAGCUGCUGCAGCUCCGGGCACCUGGGAAGCCAUCGGAAUGUGGCUGGCAGAGCCUCCGGGAAAAGCUGCCAGCCUCCCACCCUGGAAAGGGCACUGGCAGUGACUGGAAAGGCCAAGGCAAGCCCUUGCACCCUGCGAGCCCAACACAAGCACUGGAGCAGGGCUGGAGGGGUCGGGGGGAUCCCCACCAAGCACAGGCAUGGCAGAAGGACUGGAAGCGCCAAGAGAAGCCCGUGUGCCAUGCGGACUUGAUGCGCCAGCUGGAAAAGGACUGGAAAAGCCCCACUAAACGUCCUGAUGUAAGACUACGGCCAGAUGACAGCUGGAAAAGGCCUGAGAGUCCAGCACAGCAGCUGGAGGAUGACUGGAAAGGCCCUGAGCACACCAGAAACACAAACAACCCAGAGAAGCCAUUGGAAAGCAACUGGGAGAACAAGAGGCUUCUCAUUUACGAUGUGAGUAAGGCAGGAGCCAAGGUGAUUGGGACCCUGGCAGGAAUAAAACUGGCAAGCACAGAGUGGGUGGGUCCCUUGGAUUGCAAUUCUGCACAUCCCAGCUUCCCUGGAUCUUCUGCUACUCCAGGGGAGCCAAGCUGCCAGCCUGGCACUGGGAAAAGGGAGGAUGCUUCCCACCCUGGCCCACACUGGGAGGCUGCCGCUCGCAUCUGCGAAACCAAGGCAUGGACUAACCCCCAUGGCUUCAGCUCCUGCUUUCCUUCUCUGCAGCCGCAGCUGUGUAGAGAUGCCUUCCCACCACAAAGCAGCAUUGGAUCCUUGGCAAGCCUGCAGCCACGUUCAAAUGACAGUGAGAAGUGCAACAAGGUAGGGGCCUGGACCUGGGAAUGGAGGUCACCGCUGGCAGCAUCUGGGUCUCCAGCACUUGAUUUGAGGCUUAGCUUGGUGCUGCCUUCCUGUGACCUCUUGGGUAUCAGCAUUGCUAAUACCUUCCUUCCCUUUGUCCUUCACCCAAUUCUCAAGUGGGAAAAAACAGGGGCGGAGAGCCUUUAUUUUUUAAAGCCAGAGAGGGGCAAGCAGUAG
RNAcentral lists this long non-coding RNA (1389 nucleotides) under Amazona collaria (yellow-billed parrot). RNAcentral's name for it is "lncRNA (ENSACOG00000004330.1)". Lineage: Eukaryota; Metazoa; Chordata; Aves; Psittaciformes; Psittacidae. The record is from RNAcentral.